Molecule: ribosomal RNA, 140 nt
Filed under: uncultured eukaryote
Lineage: Eukaryota
Description: partial 18S ribosomal RNA
Rfam family: Eukaryotic small subunit ribosomal RNA
Source: RNAcentral
UGGUGGAGUGAUUUGUCUGCUUAAUUGCGAUAACGAACGAGACCUUAACCUACUAAAUACGUUACAUGUACAUUUUGUACAUGGCCAACUUCUUAGAGGGACUAUAUGAGUUAAUCAUAUGGAAGUUUGAGGCAAUAACA